Molecule: long non-coding RNA, 1751 nt
Organism: Protopterus annectens (West African lungfish)
Lineage: Eukaryota; Metazoa; Chordata; Ceratodontiformes; Protopteridae
Exons: 3
Source: RefSeq, a predicted model, not a curated record
UGGUGAUAAGUUUCACGAAUGCUGCUGUAUAGCUGGGGGAGUAUGACUUUUCUUGAAGAGGCCUAUGCUCUGAUGGUACUGAGGAACGGAGCAAUAAGGCCUAGGGGUUCCCAGGAUUUUUGAAAAGUACGUUACUAAACAGUGGAAUUAUCGUGUAGAGUUAGAAGGGAGAGUACUUGAUUCAAAGGUGAACGGACAUUUGCUGUACUGUCUAGGUAAUAAACCAGCUUGCUUAUUUAUAUACCUGCAAUUUGGAAUAAUAAAUUCUGAAUUUCUGUCAGCUGAGACAGUGUUGAACUCUCACGGCGAUAAACUACAUUUGUGGAAGCAAAAUUGUGUAAUCUCUAACACAAGACUGGAACAACAAAAAACAGUGUGCACAUGUGGACAACAGACUUUUUGCAAAGCACUUGAGUGUGUGUUUAAAAGAUUGAAACCAUCGGCAUCAUAGGACUUAAAUAUUGCCAGAAAAACCUGUGAAGAUACUACAGCUGUGUAAUAAGCAUCCAGGGUGCUACAGAACAAAUGAUUUCACAGUCUGAAGACCCAUGACACAAGUUUAUAUUUAAACAGUAUGGGAGUUGCUAGUGAAACCAAGACCUUGUGUCACAGUGUGGUUGAACACAAGAUAGAACAGAAUGUUUUAAAUAAAUAGAGGUUGUCUAACUCACGACAGGGCAAGUUAUAAUCCUUGCUGAAGGCUCACCGCCAUUGUAGACAAUGUAAUCAUUUGGUAUUACUGCAUUAAAAUAAUAUCAGUGCUUUGUGUUAGCAAAGAUUUCCUUUGUCCCUAAAUUACUGCUUGGCUUUCUUUUCUGCUUGAACUUCAUUGCUUCAGAUGUUGUUUAAUUUGCUCAUCCUUUAUAGGAUAAAAUGUAUGUGGGUUUAAAAUGUAGUACUUCUCAUGAACUCUAUGAUACCAGCACCACGGAAAAAAGAUCAUGAUUUUUUUGUUUGUUGUUUUUGGUUUUAAAUUAUCACUUUCUCCAAGUUGCAGCGACCAUGAAGUGAUGAUAAAAAAAAAGUUAAGGAGGUGAGAGAAGUUUCAGAGUCUUUACCCCCUGAAAAAAAAUGUUGCUUGUAAUGUUUGUUGUCUGCAGUUGCACUAGAUGCCCAGAUUGGGAUUUUCUUAUGGAAACAUGUAAUUAUGUAUUACAGACCAUGCUUGCAACUAGUGCAAAGGACUAGAGUUCUCUUUGUUGCCAAAAUAAAAUUUCACAUCUGAUGUUGUCUUUUUCAUUCUUCCUCAACAUAUGGAUUAUGGAUCCGAACUCUGAUCUGACUUUGCCGCAUACACCAGACAGUUGGGAUCCAACUCUCAAGCUCUUCCCUCCCUAUAAUGCCUCAGUCACCCUAAAAUACCUCAGAUCUCAUUUGCCACCAUCUCGCACAGAUGCAGAUUCUCUCUCAAGAGCUUUUUUUGAUUUAAUAGAAUUUUUUUGUAAGUAGCAAGUUUUUUUAAAAAAAAAAAAGAAAAAAAAAACUCUUUAGAACUUCUGUUCUAAUCCUUCUACUGUUCACCCUCUCCUAUGUAUAGAGUUUUUCGAGUUUUCUUCCCAUUAGGUCUUAGCUGCUGUCUUUUGUCUUUUGGCUGUUCUCCUUGCCAUACCAUUGUUGGUACCAGUCUUUCCUUUGCUCCUUUUCUUCUCCCCUUUACAGGGCACUCUAUCAGUGCUGGUAGCUGUGUAGUCUGUAUAUAAAAAAAAAAAAAAAAAAAAGUUGCCUCCUCUUCCUUUUAGUUGUAAUACUUG